Long non-coding RNA from Pseudopipra pipra, 4044 nucleotides. RefSeq lists it as uncharacterized. Lineage: Eukaryota; Metazoa; Chordata; Aves; Passeriformes; Pipridae. The record is from RefSeq and is a predicted model, not a curated record. The transcript has 4 exons.
GUGGCGGGGUGUUGGCAGCCCCGUCCUGUCCCUGCUGCCGGCGGCCCGGGGGCAGGAGCGCCCCGGCGGUGCCAUGGCGGGGUUCCCCUCAGGUGUGGGCAGCCGCAGCCCGGCUGUGCGGGGCGGCCCCGGCGGUGCCAUGGCGGGUUCCCCUCAGGUGUGGGCAGCCGCAGCCCGGCUGUGCGGGGCGGCCCCGGCGGUGCCGUGGCGGGUUCCCCUCAGGGCGGCCCCGCUGCCCGCGCACGGCGGUGUUGCCGGGUUCCGGGCACGAUGAGGUGGGACCGGGGCGGGAAUAGUGAAUGCCGUCUUUUAUAUCGCCCCCUUCGUUCUUCCCUUGUGGAGUAUUUUUCUCUUUCGCCAGGGCUGUCUUGACUGAGGUUUGAUUUUUUCUGUCUCACGCUCUGUGUUCAUGGCAGCCGGGCCUACACGGCUUCACCCUGCUCACUGCAUUUUGUGGGUGAGGCAGCUCGUCUGCCUUUCCAACAAACUGUGCAGUUAUGAGGUCUGCAUGCGCACAGGAUAAAGAACUAAGUUGUUUACUGUGACAGCUGUGUUUUUCUGCAGCUCAGUUGGCAUAUAUCAGCUGUCUGAUAUAUGACACUGCACACACAGACCCUGAGGAUCCCUCCGCUGCCAGCCCUGCCGUGUGUCCCGGUUCUGCCACACUGUCACCGUGCUGUGUGUGCCUCCAGACCUUGGAGUGUAAGGGGAGGGGAGGCAGGUGUGAAAUACAGUGAAAAAAGAAGGAUGGAAAUAAGAGAGACCAGUUGCUUCCAGAUGCAGAACUCGGCUCUCUGUUAUGUAAGACUGUUUUCUUCUCCACCUCCACCCAAUGUCACUCUGUCAUGUGCACACUCUCCUUCUCUUCCCCAGACAGCUGGAUGCAUGAAGAACCUUUGAAAAAAAAGGAUUAGGGCAGGACAGCAUUUUAGGAACAUCUGUGGAAGCCAUCGCCAGCUAUCUCUUUGCUGAAGACAGGUGCUGGUUUUAACCAGCAUUUCAUUACAGCAGGUAUCAUUGGCCUCUCCAGUUCCACGUUUAAAACUGGAUUCUGUCUUCAGAAGUGCACGAAUUUCUCAGGUCAUCAGAGAGUUUGCUGCAAUCACCUGUCUGUGCUGCCAAGGCCACUGAAGUUAGCAGGGAAGCAACUGAGUCGUGUGCCAGCAUUCCUGCCUCUGACUGUCCACUGGGUGUGAUUCCAUGGCCAAGUGUGGGCACUGUGGACAGGCAGAGGAUGAGGAGGAUGACUUCACUGAGCCUGGCAGGAGCAUGGCAGAAUCUCUGACUGAUCUGGCAAUGGGACUUAAGUAACAGACUCGAGUCACUUCUCCAAAGAAGUGACCCUGCUCCAUCCAAACCUGCACUAAAAAUCCUGUGGGAAUGAGUUGUAUAAACUCAGGAGGCAAAGAAUGUUCUCUCCAAUGUUCCCCAAAGUGGGAAGCAGGCACACCUCUCUGGAAAUGGCACAGGAGGUACUUGGAAAGGGCAUGGGAGCAGCUCUAGGGUUGGAAGCAGCACACUUUGCCUGCCUGGUUCCUGCUUUUGGGGCUGGUAGGGACAGGAACCCAACGGCACAGUUCAUUUGUGGAGGGAGAGGGGGUUGAGCAAGAUAAUUAGGAAAUGCUGGCCUGGGCAAGUCUCUGGGGUAGUAACAAAGAGGAAACUCUCCUUUGCCCUUCACUUGGCACAGAACAGCUCUGCUGCCCUGACUCACUCCCUCAGGAUCGAUGACUGUUACAUUUUUUACCCCUGACUUCACUCCUGCAAGAACCCUUGAAACAGCAAAAUUAGCACAAUUCCAUGAUAUUUUGGGGCCUUCUACUCUUACUGAAGGAAAGAUCAUUGACUCAGCUCCCAGCUGGACUAGACUCUGAAGGCAUACUGGUAGGACAGAGCUUCUGUAGCACUUUCCUGUUUGAAACUCCUUAACCUGACUGAAUGCCAGACAGAAACUCCUUAUUUUUCUUGGCAUAAGUUGCCGGCUUAUAUUUAAAAGAACUAUUCUGGAGCUUGAAUUUUCAUUAUUUUUAAUAAACUUUUGGUUAAAUUGUUGCUAUUAAAUAAAGUGUUCAUCGUCUGGAAAAGACCUUUAACUGGCUGGGAAUAAUCCUGCUAGACAGUGUAUUUAUUUAUUUCAGUUUAAAUCUGUUGCUGCUAGGCUUUGGGUUUCUCUUCCAGGGAGGAGAGGUACAUAAAUAAAAAUUUUAUUCUGAACUAAUUGCCUUGUUCUGAAUUGCAUAAAACAUUUGAUCUUUUUCCCUAUAAAAUUUCAGGAUAGAAGGAUCAUUAACAUUAAAGAUAAUAUGAAAUAUUUGUUGAGCAUGAGAUGGAAGCUUCUCUUUGCAUGAUAUUUUCCUUUUCUUGUCUCACAGCUAAAAGUGGCCUGGGUAUGAUGAAGCAGCACUAUGGCCAUGAGUGGUGGUAAGUUUACCAAAUCCUAAGUCAUCAUGUGCCCAGACCGGCCCUAAAACCAACUUACACAGGUUACAACAGAGCCCUUUGUGUUGUGUCAGCUUGGCCUUGGACUUCCAAGUAGUUUGUACAUAUUUAAAACUGCCUUCCAGCUGUACUUCUGAAAAAAAAAAAAUACAGGGAUGUAAAGACUUGGUCUAUAAGGUUCUGGUCAUCAAAUUUGUUUAAACUUGUCAGUUUAUAAAAUUGACCUGUGAAAGAAAAAUCCUAUUCUGGUGAAGCUACUUCAAAAUAAAAAUAACUACAAAUGCUGCAGUUUUUACAGGCUUACACUCAGUAUUUUAUCAUGGCCAUACAACAAUUAUGGGGUGACUUGGGGCACAGGCAUGUGUUUCCUGACUGAUAAGAUUCCUCACCUCCCUCUCCUUCCACAAGUGCUGGUGUUGAGUUUGUCAUUGUAACGAUUACAAUGGCAAUCACACCAGCAAUUUCUCAAAGCAAAAUGUAGGCUCUAAGGAUUCAAAACAUGAAUUAGACUGGGUCCAAAGAGAGCCUUGGUCAGCCUGAAAACUAUUCCUGGAGUUCUGUGGUCUGUUUCUACACCUCUGUGUAUGGAGCACAUUUGGGACAGCAACACAGGAAAUAUGUAGCAGCAGAUGAUGCACACAGAAAACUUGCCAUUGUAGAGUUUGAGAGGUGAGGAAGUUUGUUGGCCAGUGGGUUGAUCAGUGAUCUUCUGCAAGCAGCAGCUCUUGGUUUCUUUUCCCUGCUUUGAAGUUGAGUAACUUGGUUACAUUUUGAAUUUCAGCCUUGUAAAGUGCUUUCAAACUUAACAGUCAGGUGUUAUUUGUGGUUGCAGCCAUUACAAGGCAGAGACUUGCCAGACACUUAGGAAAUUCCUAAUUCAAGUGAUAAAGGAAGGAAACUGGAAAAAAAAUACAGUUAAGCCAGAUCUAACUAAAACAAGUUACACACCAAGGAAAGGUGUGUUAGAGAAUUCCCUCUGGGAGGGGGCAAGGCUGGGAACCACGAGGUACAUCCAGGGCUGCAACAGAAAUGGACUGUUCAUGGCAAGUCACUCUGCCUGGUGGUGAGAACACACUUUCCAAAUGGAAGGGCUCUGUAAUUCUGUCAGGCAGAGUUCUGUGUGACCUGUAAUUAUGUCCCUAUGCUCUUCUAUUAAUUUACACUCCAGCUUUUCUUUGCUUGUAUUCAAGCAGACCCAUAUUAUGAUGCAAAUUUACCAGCACCACAAAGGCCAAGUUCCAAGUAAGUGUUCAUAAGUGAGUUUUUGUCAUACCUGUUCAAAUCACAAGUCAGGGGAAAAAGAAAGAAAAUGUGCAUUGAAACCAUUAAUUUAACAUGUUAGUACAGAUCUAGAUUCAUUAAUAAAAUACAAAGUUGCAGUUUUUCUGGGUGCAAACUUUACUUACCUUUAUGAGAGGUUUAUUUAUCCCUGUACUUCUCCUCCAGAACAGCUUCCCAUUGAGUAAAAUUCCCAGUAUAAGCACAGUUCUAAUAUGAAUCUGCUGUGGCCAGUAGGAGCUGUGUUUUGCCUCUAACACACUGAAGUUUCUAUGUAUAGACCACAUGGCUAAUUUCCAAAGAAAAUAAACACAAUAUUAGUCUUAA